RNAcentral lists this transfer RNA (48 nucleotides) under Rhynchospora seccoi. Its description in RNAcentral is "partial tRNA-Phe". It matches the Rfam family "tRNA", at positions 1 to 46 of the family's 71-position model. From Rfam's summary of the family: Transfer RNA (tRNA) molecules are approximately 80 nucleotides in length. Their secondary structure includes four short double-helical elements and three loops (D, anti-codon, and T loops). Further hydrogen bonds mediate the characteristic L-shaped molecular structure. tRNAs have two regions of fundamental functional importance: the anti-codon, which is responsible for specific mRNA codon recognition, and the 3' end, to which the tRNAs corresponding amino acid is attached (by aminoacyl-tRNA synthetases). tRNAs cope with the degeneracy of the genetic code in two manners: having more than one tRNA (with a specific anti-codon) for a particular amino acid; and 'wobble' base-pairing, i.e. permitting non-standard base-pairing at the 3rd anti-codon position. Lineage: Eukaryota; Viridiplantae; Streptophyta; Magnoliopsida; Poales; Cyperaceae. The record is from RNAcentral.
GUCGGGAUAGCUCAGUUGGUAGAGCAGAGGACUGAAAAUCCUUCGUGU